RNAcentral lists this unclassified non-coding RNA (814 nucleotides) under uncultured Prochlorococcus sp. RNAcentral describes it as "partial 16S-23S ribosomal RNA intergenic spacer; may also contain 16S ribosomal RNA and 23S ribosomal RNA". The stretch from base 359 to 431 matches the Rfam family "tRNA". Lineage: Bacteria; Bacillati; Cyanobacteriota; Cyanophyceae; Synechococcales; Prochlorococcaceae. The record is from RNAcentral.
UUGUGGAGGAGGACGCCGAAGGUGGGGCUGAUGACUGGGGUGAAGUCGUAACAAGGUAGCCGUACCGGAAGGUGCGGCUGGAUCACUCCUAACAGGGAGACAAACAAUUGAUCAUGAUGUCUGAGGUUUUUUAUUCUUAGGCCAUGAUCCUGUCACCUUAGGUCGAUCGGUACCUCAGGUUGAAAAUCAUAUGAAUAAUUGAGUAAUCAAUUCGAAUUUGAUAAUCAACAUCAGUUCCUAAACUUGUCUAGGUCACACCCCGCAAGGGUUCUCCUGGGCCAUUAGCUCAGGUGGUUAGAGCGCACCCCUGAUAAGGGUGAGGUCCCUGGUUCAAGUCCAGGAUGGCCCAUUCGGUGUUGGGGGUAUAGCUCAGUUGGUAGAGCGCCUGCUUUGCAAGCAGGAUGUCAGCGGUUCGAGUCCGCUUACCUCCACUGAUCGACCUCCUGAUAACGAGAUCAGAGGAGAUUCUCUUGGCUUAAUGUGAUUUAGACUUUGUUUUAGCUGAUUCUUGAACCUAGCUUCCUAUCAUUCCUAAUUUUUCAGGCUGACAGGACGCUGGGCUCACUGCAAUUUAUUUAAUUGUAGAGAUGUUCAGUAGAACCUUGACAACUGCAUAGGUGAGUUUGGAAAAAAUAAAGCAUCUCAUGGACGCAUUUAUUCUAAUUAAGAAUAAAUGCUUGAUUCUUGAGUAAGAGCCGAGACUCUAUGGUUAAUUUGAUGUUUGAAUUUCAUCGAAUAUCAGAAGAUUAUCAACAGCAAUUUAUUGCUGAUAAUUAAUCAUUAAUCUAUAGAGGUUUAAUUGGUCAAGCUACAA